Non-coding RNA from Pelobates cultripes (western spadefoot toad), 227 nucleotides. NCBI's taxonomy places the organism in Eukaryota, Metazoa, Chordata, Amphibia, Anura, Pelobatidae. The record is from the annotation of a GenBank genome assembly.
AUUUGCCAUUUGGCUUAUCCCUCCUGGAACAUCAACCCUGUUACAUAUCUUAGUAUCAUCAGCAAAAAGACAUACCUUACCAUCAAGACCUUCUGCAAUAUCACUAAUAAAAAUAUUAAAGAGAAUGGGUCCAAGUACAGAUCCCUGAGGUACCCCACUGGUGACAAGUCCAAGCUUCGAAUAUAUUCCAUUAACUACAACCCUCUGUUGCCUGUCACUAAGCCACU